This 991-nucleotide ribosomal RNA is filed under the name Sphaenognathus munchowae. RNAcentral describes it as "partial 16S ribosomal RNA". The stretch from base 426 to 670 matches the Rfam family "Archaeal large subunit ribosomal RNA", at positions 1784 to 2143 of the family's 2987-position model. The record is from RNAcentral. Lineage: Eukaryota; Metazoa; Arthropoda; Insecta; Coleoptera; Lucanidae.
UAAUAAAUUUAUUUUUAUUUAUUUAUCCCGAAAGUUAAGGGGCUAAGAGCUUAUUAAUUUUAAUGUGAAAUAAUUAUUUACAAUAAGUUCUUUGGAAUUAUAUGUUAGUCGAAUUAAUUUUUACCUGGUUUUCAAAGAAAUUAAUUUAAUUAAGUCUUAUUCAAUGAAAUUUUCUUUGUUCUAAGAAAAUUUGGGUUUAAGUUUAAUUUUCAAGGGGAUUAGCUCUUGAAAAUAUUUCUAUAAUCAAUUGUUAUUUCAUUAUUUAUAGGAUUAGUAGUGUCCAUUAUUAAAAGUGUAUUACAACUUUUUUUGAAUUUAUUUGAUUUUGUUUGUAUUUAGUUAUUUAUUUGGAAAUGAGUUUAACUUUUUGAAACUCAGCUACAAUGAUUAAAUUAGUAUAUAUUUGUUUGUAUAAUUAAAUUGCCUGUUUUAGGUAAUUUUAAGGAACUCGGCAAAUUACCUCUUGCCUGUUUAAUAAAAACAUGUCCUUUAGAGUUUAUUUGAGGUCGGGCCUGCCCAAUGAUUGUUUUAAUGGCCGCGGUAUUUUGACCGUGCAAAGGUAGCAUAAUCAUUAGUUUUUUAAUUGAAAGCUUGCAUGAAUGGUUUGACAAGGAGGGGACUGUCUCUGGAUUAUUUAAUUAGAACUUUAUUUUUUAGUUAGAAAGCUAAAAUAAAAUUAAGGGACGAGAAGACCCUAUAGAAUUUUAUAGUUGGUAAGUUUGGUUUCUUUUAGAAUUUUUAUGCUAAACUUAAUUAAUUAUUUUGUUGGGGUGACAGAAAAACUUGGUUAGCUUUUUCUUCGAUUAAAUCAUUAAUUUAUGGUUAAUUGAUCCGGAUAUUUCGAUUAAAAGACUUAAUUACCUUAGGGAUAACAGCGUUAUUAAGUUGGAGAGUUCUUAUCGAUAACUUAGUUUGCGACCUCGAUGUUGGAUUAAAAUUUACUUUAGGUGUAGAAGCUUAUUAGUUGGGUCUGUUCGACCUUUAAAAUUUU